This 4060-nucleotide long non-coding RNA is filed under the name Homo sapiens (human). RNAcentral describes it as "non-protein coding DNAJC3-DT:20". Lineage: Eukaryota; Metazoa; Chordata; Mammalia; Primates; Hominidae. The record is from RNAcentral.
CGCAGAGCUGUCAGCAAGCUCCAAACCGCGGCUGCCGCCCGGAGGGAAGCAGACGGGGAGUCGGUGGCGGCCGCCGAGUCCGCAUGCGCAGGCUGCAAAGGCCCUUUUGGGCCGGUCCCGCCGCGCUAGGUUGGCGAGUGGGACUAUUUGAUCCUUUCCAGGUUCGCCAGCGUGGUGUUACGAGAGGAAAGCGCAGCCGCAGCGUACGAAUGGGAAGGCCAAACACGGUCCCGGGGAGUCUGAGGGAAGCUGCAGGGCGCCUGGAAUUGGGGUCUCGAGUGAGCCGGUAAAAACCGCCUCCCGCUGAGCGUCCCGGAACAAAUACUGUCUGAACUGAGCCGUAAGCAAGAAACGGUCAGGAGAAGCUGGGGCGAUCUGAUGAUUAGAACAUUUCAGGGACUACCAGAGAGAAGUGCGUAAUUGCUCUAAGGCAGGUAGGUAAUUGGCCUGGAAACUUGGGAACGCCCCGCCCCCCACCCCGACUUUCAGCAAACCACCGUGCCCAGGAAAAAGAGCGAUUGUGGAAGACCCUGUGAAGAAGAGACCAGGAAGGCACUGUGGCUUAAGAGAGCAAGGCGUUCCUGAAUGCAGCCAACAUCAACUGGUAAACAAAAAACUGUGAGAACGGAUCCUGAAUCUUGCGCUUACCAGGGGAAAUUCAGGAGAGAUAUGAACCUGAGCAAGAUGAGGUUGAAGUUACUCAAUGCGGCAUUAAGCCUGUUCACGGCCACUUCCUCCGGCGUCACCAACACACACACUGUACACCAGCAGUAUUUUUACACGGGGUAUGUGUGUUAAGUACUAUCAGGUGGAUAAUUAUUACUUCACCUGUAUUUGCUGCCUUGAUACCAUUAGAGAAACUCAUGAAUUAUAAAUAGCAUAGUGAAUUUGUGAUUCCCUGAAGAUAUACUAAGGUGGACUUUUAAAAAGGCUUCUAUUCCAAAGGGAACUAAUAUGGAGGAAAUGGUUUCGAGAAAGAAAAAAGAAAAAACGGAGUCCUUGAUUAGUUGUGGGGAAGGCAACAUAAUGUAAUGUGAAGAAUAAAGGAGUCAGAUCCAGGAAACCCCAUAACUAUUAUGUAAGUUAUCUUCAUCUGUAAAGUGGUUAGGAUCCUGAUAGUCUCAAAGGUUUGUUUUGAGGUUUCAUGAAGCAGAUAAAUAUUCUUGUAAAUUGUAGAAUGUUAUACCAGUGUUACUCAUUAUUCUAACAAGAGCAGAGUAGUGAAGAGAGGCUCCUUCAGAAAUUCCUUGGGAUUUUUUUUUUUUUGGCUUCUGUUUUUUUAUAUCACAAGGUAGUGUCUCUGAAAAAUGGUAGAUGAUUUCAAUGUCCACAAAUAUGCAGGUGUAGACAUUCAAUUGAGGUACUGUACCCAAGGCAGCCAGCAAAAUGCUGAACAUAGAAAAUAACUUUGUAAACAAAAUGCAAUAUUUCUAGACAGUGAGUUAUCACCAGUGUGCUGCCUAUGACCCUGGCCUUAAGGAAAAAGUAGCAGAGCUGAAGAAGUUCUAAGGAUGGAAAUUAAAAAUUAUUAAGGAGAUAAUAGACUUCGUGUUAUAGGAAAUAAAAAUAGCAAGGGUCUUCAAUGGUGAGUGAUUUUGAGAUUAAUUACAUAACUAUGAAUUCUGUAAUAUUAGAACUAAGCUUUACAAAGCAUUCCUUAAAAAAAGAUAAUUUUACAACAAAGGUAACAUUAGACAGAAAAAAAUGUACAAAACUAAAAUUAAGUGAUUAAUGCUUGGGAAUGUUUCCUCCAAUGUUCAUCUAGUCAUGGUUUUCACGAAUCACUCUUGCCAAUAAAACCGAAAAUCAAAGUAAUCUAGUGAGUGUAAGAAAAGUUACUGUAAAUAUGUUUGCAUUCGUCAGACUCUAUGGAGUCUUUUUGAAGUUAAACAUUAAAUCUCCACUGUAAUUCAUACUGUUAAUUAUAGUAGCAAAAGACUUAAAAAACAAUGGUAGCAUAUUUAUGAUAUAUCCAAAAUUAAGAGUAUUAUGCAAUUUUUAUUAGGUUGAUCUAUGUUUAUUGACUAGGAAAAACAAUGUUGGUAGAGAGGAGUGAACAGAUCUAGAACAUAUUUUGUAGGUAAAGGGAAUAAGAUUUGUUUAGGAAUUAACUAUGAGGAGAAAUAAAUGUUCAGAAACAAGUAGAGCACUUAUAAACACCUUUUUGUGCCAAAUUAAGAACAAAAAAGUCAGCAUUAAGUUAAUGCCACCAUAUACAUCCUUCCACAUUUAUGUUUACAAACUUGUGCUUUUAUUUCUAGGAAACAUUUCUAGGCUGGGCGCAGUGGCUCACACCUGUAAUGCUAGCGCUUUGGGAAGCCAAGAUGGGAGGAUUAUUUGAGGCCGGGAGUUUGCGACCAGCCUGAGCAACAUAGCAGGAUCCUGUCUCUGCAAAAAAAUUUAAAACUAGCCAGGUGCGGUGGCUCGUGCCUGUUGCCCUAGCUACUCAGGGAGACUGAGGCAGAGGAUUGCUUCAACCCAGGAGUUUGAGGUUGCAGUGAGCUAAGAUCAUGUCACUGCACUCCAGACUGAGCAACAGAGUGACACUUUAUAAAAAAAAAAAAAAAAAAAACUAGGUUUUUGAACUUGCUUAAUCAAAGAAUUUGUUUAAACUUUUAAGAUGCGUUGUCAGAUUAUCUUUCCCUAAAGGAAUAAUUUCUAUUCCUAUCAGCUGUUUAUAUUCCUGCCUAGUCACCAUCACUAGAUAUAAUUGAUUUUCAGUUUUUGCCAAUCUGAGGAACAAAAAAUGACCCUUAUAUGUCAAAUUUACAGUUUAUUUUCAAGGAUUUUGGGAUUCUGAUCAAAUUUUGGUACCUUCAUAUAAAAUUUGGCUUUUAUAUCACAUCUUGUCUUCUCUGCUUUCCACCCUCUUUUAUGUUGUUUUUUGGCUUCUGGCCGCAUGACUAUAAUCUCCGCUUUUGUAUUCACAUCACCUUCUGUCAUUUUUGACCUUGCCUCCGUCUUACAAGGAUCCUUGUAAUUAAUUAUAUUGGGCCUGCUGAGAUAAUCCAGGAUAUUCUUCCUACUCAAGUUCCUCAAUUUAAUCACAUCUGCAAAAACUGCCUUUUGCUAUAGAACAAUGACAGGAGAUUAGAAUGUAAACAUAUUUGGGGGACCGUUAUUCAGCUUAACACAAUACGUCCCCCUUCAUCAGGUGGAGCUUAUUUUCCCUCCUUCCUUGAGUGUGGGCUGGACUUAGUGACUAACUUCCAAAGAACAGAGUAUGGAAAGGGAGGAGGAGAGUAACUUCAUAGUACAGAAACCUGGAAACACUGUCUUGGCCAGGUGGUCAAAGUUAAUAUCAUCAAGUCAUGUUGAUAGCAUAUACUCCCAAUAUACUGUGAUGAGAAGGGCAAUUCACCUCUGUGGUAUUCUCAAAACCUAUAACCCAAUCUAGUCUAAACAUGAAAAAAAAAAAAUCAAACUAAAAUUGAAGGACAUUCUAUAAAACACCUGAUCAGUAUUCCUCAAAACUAUCAACGUCGUGGGGAACAAGGAAAGAUUGAAAUACUGUAACAGACCAGAGGAAACUAAGGAAACUUAAUUGAUGACUGAAUGCAGUGUGCUGUGUUGAACUGGAUCCUAGAGAAAAUAGACAUUAGUGGAAAAACUACUGAAAUAUGAAUAGUCUCAAGUUUAAUAGUAGUGUACCAUUAUUACUUUCUUAGUUUUGACAAAUGUACCAUGGUUAUGCAAGAUGCUAACAAUACAGAAAAAUAAGGGGUAUUUGGGACCUCCCUGUAUUAUCCUUAUGCCCUUACUUGAAAGUUGUUUCAGCAAUAGAAGUUUAUUUAAAAUAUUGUGAAGGGCCUGAGUAUUUUUAAAUCAACUGCAGUGACUCUCUUUUGUGUAUUUGUGUACAGAUGAGUUUUUCUGCAUCGAAUUUUAUCUCCUUUCCUUGCAGAAGAAAGAGAAUUAGCCCUUUACAGAGAUAACAGUUGCCUAAGCCAGCUCUUUUCUCCUCUUUUUGAUGUUCUUCUUUUUCUCUCAGUUUGAAAAUUGUAGGUUAUUUGAGUUUUUAAAAUGUCUAUUGCUACAUACACAUUCUAGUUAUAUUCUA